AUGAACGUGCAGUUGAACGGCGUCGAACACCAUCGGUUCGACACGCUCGUUUUGCUGCAAGACUCGGUGGCGGCCAAGUUGGCCGCGAGAAAGUGGUUGGAUGGCAACGAGGCCGUUGCCAUCCACCUCAACUACCAGCACUUCGUCGACAUUGGGUUCGAGGACGCCCUGAUCAACGAAGACAUGGCUUUCAGACUCAUUCCGGAAGCGGCGUAUGUUCAGAUGAGGACAAAUGCUGCAGCUCUGGACGACUGUUGGCCGAACUACAAGUCCCCGAACCUGCGAGACGGACAGAAUCCCAGGACGCGUGAGUGGGUGAUGGGUAACAUGAAGGCGCACGGGCGGCGGAUCGUCGACAGGGAUAGGGCCCUCCUGUUGAGGUUCGAGAUAAAGGGGGAUCUUCGUUGCCGACGCCGCAUCAUCUUCAAGCCCGAGGUGCGCGAGGCGCUCGGUGCCGAGCCUCUGGUGCUAUUGCAGUACAAGAGCCCAUGUGCCCUCGGGUGUACCGCCUUGAGCUAUUGCUGGUGGUGGAGGCGAUCGAGGCUGCGGAGGCGGCAGCGGCGGCGGCAGCAGCGGCGGCGGCCGCGGGGGCGGGAGGCGGUGGCGAGCCGGGAGAGGGAGCCCCGGCAGGCGGCGACGCGGCGGAGCCAGCGGCGGGGGCUGGUGGCGACGCGGCCGAGGGAGCCGCAGCUGGCGUCGAUGGGGUGCAGUGAUCGCUCUGCCGAGGAGUAG
Molecule: ribosomal RNA, 732 nt
Filed under: Triticum aestivum (bread wheat)
Lineage: Eukaryota; Viridiplantae; Streptophyta; Magnoliopsida; Poales; Poaceae
Description: partial small subunit ribosomal RNA
Source: RNAcentral